AAAUAUUUAAAAUUAUUUAUUAUUUUUAAUCAAAAUAAAAAAUAAAAACAAAGAUAACCCCAACCUUUCACUCGAUCUUCUACUUCUUCUAUUAAUGUUUCCAUUGGCAGACCAGCAGCCAACACUUAGCCCCGCUUUUCUUCUUCUUAUUUGGCCUUCUUCGCGAAUCUGAGCUAGAUCCACCUCCAUCUUCUUUGGUCUUCUUUGCAAAACUGAACCAGACCCAGCUCCUUGUUCGGUCUUCUUCGUUGGCAGAUGAACCUCCUUCAGAACCUGAACUAACCUCGUUUCCCACGCCACCAAGGCCCAUGUCGUUGUGCCUUUGAAUAUUUGGAUAUGGGUUUGGGUCCCUUCUGACUGUUUCUUCUUCUUCUUCGACAUUUUUGGUUCUUCAAUGGCUACUAUUACUGGGUGGGUUCACCUCCAGAUUCGUGUUGUGCGAUGGCUGUAAUGGGCUUGCACGUGGUGUUGUGCCUGUGGAAUUUGCUGUGCUAUGAAUAUGACUGUUGUUUGUGGAAUCUCCUGUGCCUCACCAUUAAGAUUGAUUCGGUUGUUUGGGAAUUGUGACUUUGUGUAGUUGCAGAUUGUUAAUGAAACUUGUUGAAAUUAGUUCAAA
Hevea brasiliensis (rubber tree) is the source of this 616-nucleotide long non-coding RNA. RefSeq lists it as uncharacterized. The record is from RefSeq and is a predicted model, not a curated record. The transcript has 2 exons. Lineage: Eukaryota; Viridiplantae; Streptophyta; Magnoliopsida; Malpighiales; Euphorbiaceae.